AAAGCUGUGCUAAUACCGCAUACGCCCUGAGGGGGAAAGCGGGAGAUCGAAAGACCUCGCGCGAUUAGAGCGGCCGAUGCCUGAUUAGCUUGUUGGUGGGGUAAAAGCCCACCAAGGCGACGAUCAGUAGCUGGUCUGAGAGGACGAUCAGCCACACUGGGACUGAGACACGGCCCAGACUCCUACGGGAGGCAGCAGUGGGGAAUUUUGGACAAUGGGGGCAACCCUGAUCCAGCAAUGCCGCGUGAGUGAAGAAGGCCUUCGGGUUGUAAAGCUCUUUUGUCAGGGAAGAAACACCGGCUCUAACACAGUCCGGGAAUGACGGUACCUGAAGAAUAAGCACCGGCUAACUACGUGCCAGCAGCCGCGGUAAUACGUAGGGUGCGAGCGUUAAUCGGAAUUACUGGGCGUAAAGCGUGCGCAGGCGGUUAUACAAGACAGGCGUGAAAUCCCCGGGCUUAACCUGGGAAUGGCGCCUGUGACUGUAUAGCUAGAGUGUGUCAGAGGGGGGUAGAAUUCCACGUGUAGCAGUGAAAUGCGUAGAUAUGUGGAGGAAUACCAAUGGCGAAGGCAGCCCCCUGGGAUAACACUGACGCUCAUGCACGAAAGCGUGGGGAGCAAACAGGAUUAGAUACCC
This 637-nucleotide ribosomal RNA is filed under the name uncultured beta proteobacterium. Its description in RNAcentral is "bacterial SSU rRNA". It matches the Rfam family "Bacterial small subunit ribosomal RNA", at positions 154 to 787 of the family's 1533-position model. The record is from RNAcentral. Lineage: Bacteria; Pseudomonadati; Pseudomonadota; Betaproteobacteria.